AUACGGAGGGUGCAAGCGUUAUUCGGAAUCACUGGGCGUAAAGGACGCGUAGGCGGGUUGGCAAGUCAGAUGUGAAAUCCUACAGCUUAACUGUAGAACUGCAUUUGAAACUGCUAACCUAGAGUAUGGGAGGGGGAGAUGGAAUUAGUGGUGUAGGGGUAAAAUCCGUAGAUAUCACUAGGAAUACCGAAAGCGAAGACGAUCUCCUGGAACAUAACUGACGCUAAGGCGUGAAAGCGUGGGGAGCAAACAGGAUUAGAAACCCGAGUAGUCC
RNAcentral lists this ribosomal RNA (274 nucleotides) under uncultured bacterium. RNAcentral describes it as "partial 16S ribosomal RNA". It matches the Rfam family "Bacterial small subunit ribosomal RNA", at positions 523 to 796 of the family's 1533-position model. The record is from RNAcentral.